AGCCUUAUUUGGAAAAAGGGUCUUUGUAGAGUUAAUUAAGUUAAGGAUCUCAAGAUGAAAUCAUCCUGGAUUAAGGUGAGCCCUAAAUACAAUGACAAGAGUUGUGCCCUGAG
Molecule: long non-coding RNA, 113 nt
Organism: Sapajus apella (tufted capuchin)
Lineage: Eukaryota; Metazoa; Chordata; Mammalia; Primates; Cebidae
Exons: 3
Source: RefSeq, a predicted model, not a curated record